Stegodyphus mimosarum is the source of this 116-nucleotide non-coding RNA. The record is from Rfam. NCBI's taxonomy places the organism in Eukaryota, Metazoa, Arthropoda, Arachnida, Araneae, Eresidae.
GUCAGGAUGGCCGAGCGUUCUAAGACGCCAGACUCAAGGAAUACCUUUUCAGUAUGACUGGGUGCGAGAGUUCUGGUCCACGAUUGUGGGCGUGGGUUCGAGUCACACUUCUGACA